UACGGAGGGUGCAAGCGUUAAUCGGAAUUACUGGGCGUAAAGCGCAUGUAGGCUGCUUUAUAAGUCAGGGGUGAAAGCCCACAGCUUAACUGUGGAACUGCCUUUGAUACUGUAGAGCUUGAGUCUGUGAGAGGGUAGUGGAAUUCCAGGUGUAGGGGUGAAAUCCGUAGAGAUCUGGAGGAACAUCAGUGGCGAAGGCGACUACCUGGUGCAGUACUGACGCUGAGAUGCGAAAGCGUGGGGAUCAAACAGG
This 253-nucleotide ribosomal RNA is filed under the name uncultured bacterium. RNAcentral describes it as "partial 16S ribosomal RNA". It matches the Rfam family "Bacterial small subunit ribosomal RNA", at positions 524 to 776 of the family's 1533-position model. The record is from RNAcentral.